GCCUGGGUGGCUCAGUUGGUUAAGCAUCUGACUUGGGCUCAGGACAUGAUCUCAGGGUCCUGGGUUCGAGUCCCGCAUCGGGCU
This 84-nucleotide transfer RNA is filed under the name Ailuropoda melanoleuca (giant panda). It matches the Rfam family "tRNA". From Rfam's summary of the family: Transfer RNA (tRNA) molecules are approximately 80 nucleotides in length. Their secondary structure includes four short double-helical elements and three loops (D, anti-codon, and T loops). Lineage: Eukaryota; Metazoa; Chordata; Mammalia; Carnivora; Ursidae. The record is from Rfam by way of RNAcentral.